Molecule: ribosomal RNA, 252 nt
Filed under: uncultured bacterium
Lineage: Bacteria
Description: partial 16S ribosomal RNA
Rfam family: Bacterial small subunit ribosomal RNA
Source: RNAcentral
UACGGGUGGUGCAAGUGUUAUUCCUCAUGACUAGGCGUAAAGGGUGCGUAGGAGGGCAGGUAAGUCAGUGGUGAAAUCUCCGAGCUUAACUUGGAACUGCCGUUGAUACUAUCUGUCUUGAAUACCGUGGAGGUGAGCGGAAUAUGUCAUGUAGCGGUGAAAUGCUUAGAUAUGACAUAGAACACCAAUUGCGAAGGCAGCUCACUACACGAAUAUUGACUCUGAGGCACGAAAGCGUGGGGAUCAAACAGG